UGAUAAGGAUGUGGAUGAUGAUGAUGAUGAUGAUGAUGAUCAUCAUCAUCAUCAUCAUCAUCAUCAUGGUAG
This 72-nucleotide microRNA precursor is filed under the name Aegilops tauschii subsp. strangulata. Its description in RNAcentral is "pre miRNA mir-598". Lineage: Eukaryota; Viridiplantae; Streptophyta; Magnoliopsida; Poales; Poaceae. The record is from RNAcentral.